GUGCCAGCCGCCGCGGUAAUACCGGCAGCUCAAGUGAUGUCCAAUAUUAUUGGGCCUAAAGCGUCCGUAGCUGGCCGCGCAAGUCCGUCGGGAAAUCCACUCGCUCAACGAGUGGCCGUCCGGUGGAAACUCCACACCUUGGGACCGGAAGGCUCGAAGGGUACGUUCGGGGUAGGAGUGAAAUCCCAUAAUCCCGCACGGACCACCGAUGGCGAAAGCACUUCGAGAAAACGGAUCCGACAGUGAGGGACGAAAGCCAGGGUCUCCAACCGGAUUAGAAACCCCUGUAGUCC
This 293-nucleotide ribosomal RNA is filed under the name uncultured bacterium. RNAcentral describes it as "partial 16S ribosomal RNA". It matches the Rfam family "Archaeal small subunit ribosomal RNA", at positions 455 to 747 of the family's 1478-position model. The record is from RNAcentral.